RNAcentral lists this ribosomal RNA (253 nucleotides) under uncultured bacterium. Its description in RNAcentral is "partial 16S ribosomal RNA". It matches the Rfam family "Bacterial small subunit ribosomal RNA", at positions 524 to 776 of the family's 1533-position model. The record is from RNAcentral.
UACGUAGGGUGCGAGCGUUGUCCGGAAUUACUGGGCGUAAAGAGCUUGUAGGUGGUUUGUCGCGUUGUUCGUGAAAACUCACAGCUCAACUGUGGGCGUGCGGGCGAUACGGGCAGACUAGAGUACUGCAGGGGAGACUGGAACUCCUGGUGUAGCGGUGGAAUGCGCAGAUAUCAGGAGGAACACCGGUGGCGAAGGCGGGUCUCUGGGCCGAUACUGACGCUGAGGAGCGAAAGCGUGGGGAGCGAACAGG